RNAcentral lists this non-coding RNA (21 nucleotides) under Caenorhabditis elegans. The record is from RNAcentral. Lineage: Eukaryota; Metazoa; Nematoda; Chromadorea; Rhabditida; Rhabditidae.
UCGCAGCUGAAAGAUGUUUUG